This is a non-coding RNA of Erinaceus europaeus (western European hedgehog), 111 nucleotides long. NCBI's taxonomy places the organism in Eukaryota, Metazoa, Chordata, Mammalia, Eulipotyphla, Erinaceidae. The record is from Rfam.
GUCUAUGGCCAUUUCACCUUGAACACGCCUGAUCUUAUCUAAUCUCGGAAGCUAAGCAGGGUCAGGCCUGGUUAGUACCAGGAUGAGAGGAAACUGUUUCAGCUAUGCAAG